GACGAACGCUGGCGGCGUGCCUAAUACAUGCAAGUCGAACGCAUUUUCUUUCACCGUAGCUUGCUACACCGAAAGAAAAUGAGUGGCGAACGGGUGAGUAACACGUGGGUAACCUGCCCAUCAGCGGGGGAUAACACUUGGAAGCAGGUGCUAAUACCGCAUAAUUCCAUUUACCGCAUGGUAGAUGGGUGAAAGGCGCUUUUGCGUCACUGAUGGAUGGACCCGCGGUGCAUUAGCUAGUUGGUGGGGUAACGGCCUACCAAGGCUGCGAUGCAUAGCCGACCUGAGAGGGUGAUCGGCCACACUGGGACUGAGACACGGCCCAGACUCCUACGGGAGGCAGCAGUAGGGAAUCUUCGGCAAUGGACGCAAGUCUGACCGAGCAACGCCGCGUGAGUGAAGAAGGUUUUCGGAUCGUAAAACUCUGUUGUUAGAGAAGAACAAGGAUGAGAGUGGAAAGUUCAUCCCUUGACGGUAUCUAACCAGAAAGCCACGGCUAACUACGU
RNAcentral lists this ribosomal RNA (506 nucleotides) under uncultured bacterium. RNAcentral's name for it is "partial 16S ribosomal RNA". It matches the Rfam family "Bacterial small subunit ribosomal RNA", at positions 28 to 506 of the family's 1533-position model. The record is from RNAcentral.